GACGUAGGGGGCCAGCGUUGCUCGGAAUUACUGGGCGUAAAGGGUUCGUAGGCGGUGUGGCAAGUCGGGAGUGAAAUCUCUGGGCUUAACUCAGAGGCUGCUUCCGAAACUGCCGUGCUAGAGUGCGGGAGAGGCGAGUGGAAUUGCAGGUGUAGCGGUGAAAUGCGUAGAUAUCUGCAGGAACACCCGUGGCGAAGGCGGCUCGCUGGACCGCAACUGACGCUGAGGAACGAAAGCGUGGGGAGCGAACAGG
RNAcentral lists this ribosomal RNA (253 nucleotides) under uncultured bacterium. RNAcentral's name for it is "partial 16S ribosomal RNA". It matches the Rfam family "Bacterial small subunit ribosomal RNA", at positions 524 to 776 of the family's 1533-position model. The record is from RNAcentral.